GACGGCUCUGACAGUUGGAUGCCCAAGAAAAGAUCCUGGAUGUCGCCCCUCCCCCAGGGUGAGACCCUUUGUACGCUUCAAAUGUGUGCGUGCACCCAUGGAUGUGAUAUGACCUCACCGAAGAGGCAUGACCUCAUGACAGAAUUCCAAUUCAUUUUAGCAGCAAGAGCACGGGCAGCGCGGCCUGUGAUAUAAUUACUAUAAACAAACACAUCCUGGACGGCUGACUGUGUUUGUGGAAAUAAGCUGUUUACCGAGGCGGGCUUGUGCACAGCUGUUGACGACAGUGGAAAUACGAAAGACACGGCUAGGAGCGCCAAUUCAUCUAAACAGACAACAAACAAACAAGCGGAACACACCGGCUCCUGUUCAUCUGAUUGGCAUGUUUAGACGCCUGGAAAAUUUUGACUGUCGCUACUGCAUAAACCGCUUGUCGAAACGUUUAUGAUGUAUUUACUGUAUGAAGUAAUGUAUGCAUCCUAUCCGGGAAACCGGACUGCUGGAAAUCAAUCUUGCGUAACAUUGCUGUUUGUUUAUAUUCCGUUUUAGUGUUUUGCAAUGCAUCCACGGUUUGCCCUUACUGUACAUACGAUAUGGCUAUAUAAGAUUGUGUUCAGAGCGUACACGUUUGGGCUCAUGUUAUUUAAAUAACGGCCAGGUUGUUGUAAUUACAGUAACAGGUUCAUGCACAGUUUAAUGUUGGAGUCUGGGUGAAGUUUUAUUUGGGGCAUUUAAAACUGUUUAUGUUAUAAUUGUCUUAUUCUGCUACAGUCAGUAAACAAUGGAGGUCAGAUUGAUACAGAAUAUAGGGUGGGUAUUUAUCAAAGCACGGAGAGAGGUAAAGCAUACCUCCCAACUCCUGCUGUUCUGCUCUACCACCCAUGGGGCAGAUGUAUUAACCCGGAGAAGGCAUAAGGAAGUGAUAAACCAGUGAUAUGUGCAAGGGGAUAAACGCGCCAGCCAAUCAGCUCCAAUAUGCAAACUGACAGGAACUGAUUGGCUGGUGCAUUUAUCACUGGUUUAUCACUUUAUGCCGUCUCCAGGUUAAUACAUCUGCCCCCAUGGGGUGGGCGGAGCACUGUUACCACAGCUCCACGGAGCAGCAUGUGUUUAGAUGCCGUGCACCAGGGACGUGCAGUCAGAGGAGCCCCCCCUGUCAUAUUCCAAUCUGAUGAUUACAAUAAUACAAAGACAAUAUUUAUAAAACAGAUUCUGUGUUACAAA
Long non-coding RNA from Pseudophryne corroboree (corroboree frog), 1224 nucleotides. RefSeq lists it as uncharacterized. The transcript has 2 exons. Lineage: Eukaryota; Metazoa; Chordata; Amphibia; Anura; Myobatrachidae. The record is from RefSeq and is a predicted model, not a curated record.